UGAGCGUCUGGUCCGAAUCGUUGGCUUGGAGAUGAUUUUACGGGCUCUUUCUGGAGAACAAAAGUAAAACGUUACAGUGUUCCGAUGAGACACAGUAGGCAGUACUUGGGAGGGUCUUAUAGACCCCACCCUGUGGAAGUGGGUCUCAACAUUACACAACCCCCUCUCGGGCCCGUGGACAGUUGCUGUCCUCUCUGUUUUCUCUCUUUGUGCCUGUGCCCCCCUCAGAGAAGAAGAAAGGAGCUGAGGAGGAGAAGCCAAAGAGGAGGAGGCAGGAGAAGCAGGCAGCCUGCCCCUUCUACAACCACGAGCAGAUGGGCCUUCUCCGGGAUGAGGCCCUGGCAGAGGUGAAGGACAUGGAGCAGCUGCUGGCCCUUGGGAAGGAGGCCCGGGCCUGUCCCUAUUACGGGAGCCGCCUUGCCAUCCCUGCAGCCCAGAUGAGGAAAGCAAGGGUCAGAGAGGUUAGACAACUCUUCCAGAGUCACACAGCUGGGAAGUAGCAGCUCCAGGAGCAGAAGCU
Molecule: long non-coding RNA, 520 nt
Filed under: Homo sapiens (human)
Lineage: Eukaryota; Metazoa; Chordata; Mammalia; Primates; Hominidae
Description: HSALNT0185430
Source: RNAcentral